RNAcentral lists this unclassified non-coding RNA (194 nucleotides) under plant metagenome. Its description in RNAcentral is "partial contains small subunit ribosomal RNA, internal transcribed spacer 1, and 5.8S ribosomal RNA". The record is from RNAcentral.
UUUCCGUAGGUGAACCUGCGGAAGGAUCAUUACAGAGUUCAGGCCCGAAAGGGUAGACCUCCCACCAUUGUGUAUUGUUACUUUGUUGCUUUUGCUAGCGAACGCUCCCCAGAUAAUACCAAAGCUGUUAUUAUUAAUGUCGUCUGAGUACUAUAUGAUAGUUAAAACUUUCAACAACGGAUCUCUUAGUUCUG